UUCGUCAGGAGUUUCUUCGACAAGAAGACCAGCUUCAGGACUAUAGGAAGAACAAUACUUACCUUGUGAAGAGGUUAGAAUAUGAAAGUUUUCAGUGUGGACAGCAGAUCAAGGAAUUGAGAGCACAACAUGAAGAAAAUAUUAAAAAGUUAGCAGACCAGUUUUUACAGGAACAAAAGCAAGAGGCCCACAAGAUUCAAUCAAAUGAUGGAAAAGAAUUGGAUAUAAACGAUCAAGUAGUACCUAAAAAUAUUCCAAAAGUAGCUGAGAAUGUUGCAGAUAAGAAUGAAGAACCCUCAAGCAAUCAUAUUCCACAUGGGAAAGAACAAAUCAAAAGAGGUGGUGAUGCAGGGAUGCCUGGAAUAGAAGAGAAUGACCUAGCAAAAGUUGAUGAUCUUCCCCCUGCAUCCAGGAAAAGCUUUUAGGUUUUUUGUGUGUGUGUGUGCGUGUGAGACAGAGUCUCGCUCUGUUGUCCAGGCUGAAGUAUAGUAGCGUGAUCUCGGCUCACUGCAACCUGCGCCUCCUGGGUUCAAGCAAUUCUCCUGUCUCAGCCUCCCAAGUAGCUGAGAUUACAGGCGCCCGCCACCAUGCCUGGCUAAUUUUUUGUAUUUUUAGUAGAGAUGGGGUUUCAACAUGUUGGCCAGGCUGGUCUUGAACUCCUGACCUCAGGUCAUCCACCC
RNAcentral lists this small RNA (680 nucleotides) under Pongo abelii (Sumatran orangutan). RNAcentral's name for it is "processed transcript". The record is from RNAcentral. Lineage: Eukaryota; Metazoa; Chordata; Mammalia; Primates; Hominidae.